UCCAGGGUAACCUAGUGGACAUGGCACCUGCCCGGUAAGCAGAAGGUUGUGGGUUCGAUUCCCGCCCCUGGAC
RNAcentral lists this transfer RNA (73 nucleotides) under Cordylochernes scorpioides. Its description in RNAcentral is "tRNA-Thr". It matches the Rfam family "tRNA". From Rfam's summary of the family: Transfer RNA (tRNA) molecules are approximately 80 nucleotides in length. Their secondary structure includes four short double-helical elements and three loops (D, anti-codon, and T loops). Further hydrogen bonds mediate the characteristic L-shaped molecular structure. tRNAs have two regions of fundamental functional importance: the anti-codon, which is responsible for specific mRNA codon recognition, and the 3' end, to which the tRNAs corresponding amino acid is attached (by aminoacyl-tRNA synthetases). tRNAs cope with the degeneracy of the genetic code in two manners: having more than one tRNA (with a specific anti-codon) for a particular amino acid; and 'wobble' base-pairing, i.e. permitting non-standard base-pairing at the 3rd anti-codon position. Lineage: Eukaryota; Metazoa; Arthropoda; Arachnida; Pseudoscorpiones; Chernetidae. The record is from RNAcentral.